This 526-nucleotide long non-coding RNA is filed under the name Ananas comosus (pineapple). Its description in RNAcentral is "long non-coding RNA (ACOM_LNC024588)". Lineage: Eukaryota; Viridiplantae; Streptophyta; Magnoliopsida; Poales; Bromeliaceae. The record is from RNAcentral.
CAACACCGAACCACGAUCAACCAGAUCGAAACACAUGAUAAAAGAGUCGAUGUGUUGCCUGGACCCAAAGUCCACAGAGUCGAAUCGACCAACAAGGUCAUUGAUACGAAGUACGAGAACCGACCAAUCAGGUCCACAGAUAUGAAAUGCAACAACCGACCAACCAGGUCAACAGAUAUGCAUAUAGAUAGAACUACUCUACUCCUACUCAGAAUACCAAGCAUGCAAACAAUGAGUAGAGUAUACUGGAAAAAUCAUGGGUGCAAGACUCAAUAUAUACUAUGCAAUAGUAACAACAGAAGAGUAAGGGUAAGAAACCAUCACCGAGCGUGCACCACUGUACCAACGUCGGAUCGAAGUACCCACCUGUCACUGUCGCGUCGGAACACUGGGUAUGCACAAGUCAACCGGACCUACGAAGAUCCACCAGGUCAGUAUCCAACCCACUAACCUGAAGUACGAGACUCACAAACCUCCACAAAAGAUCCUUGUAAUCGGUUUACCAAAACCAAUCACCGUAACUCAC